This 358-nucleotide long non-coding RNA is filed under the name Ictidomys tridecemlineatus (thirteen-lined ground squirrel). RNAcentral's name for it is "lncRNA (ENSSTOG00000033960.1)". The record is from RNAcentral. Lineage: Eukaryota; Metazoa; Chordata; Mammalia; Rodentia; Sciuridae.
AAUUUGCCGAUUAACAAACUGCAGUGUGCACCACUGUCGUUCUGACUGACCCCGAAGUUUGGGAGGGCCACACAGCCACAGUGCAGUGGGAGUGGGUCGGUGCACCUGGACUCCGCUGCCUUGGACCUCAGUAGGAACAGUCUCCAUGGUUCUCCACAGCCCAACACCCCGACCCCACAAGCCUGUGCUGCUCUCACAACGACUGAGAGCAGGACCCCCAAGAGGACCCUCUGACAAAGCGCCACAGUCCAGGGGACAUUGCCAACCACCUGCUUCUCCCAGGAGUGAGGUAAAAGGAAGAAAGAGAACUUUGCCCUCUCAGAGGGCUCACAUCCAGGGCAGCAGGCUGACGGUCAGC